This is a long non-coding RNA of Labeo rohita (rohu), 242 nucleotides long. RefSeq lists it as uncharacterized. The transcript has 3 exons. NCBI's taxonomy places the organism in Eukaryota, Metazoa, Chordata, Actinopteri, Cypriniformes, Cyprinidae. The record is from RefSeq and is a predicted model, not a curated record.
CAAAGACAGCCGGAAACACACAACACAGCUCAAGCACAUAACACAGUCUACGUGCAUAAUUGCAAUAUGUGGAUUUAAAGUAUUUGCCUAUAAGGGGGUCAGUCUCCUCAGGUAGAGCGAGUAACACUCCAGGUAUAAAAGACAAGGAAGGUGAGAGCUUCAAGAUUCUGGACUGGACUGUGAUGAUUUGCAUGGCAUUAAAGUACCUACAUGAUUCAAAUAUCUUCCAUAACAACCUGCAG